AGCUCCAUUAGCGUAUAUUAAAGUUGUUGCAGUUAAAAAGUUCGUAGUUGGAUUUCAGUACGGGCCAGUUGGUCGGCCGCAAGGCCUGUUACUGACUGGUCUGUUCUUCUUCUCAAAGACUGCGCGUGCUCUUCGUUGAGUGUGUGUAGGAUUUGGGACGUUUACUUUGAAAAAAUUAGAGUGUUCAAGGCAGGCUUGUAAGCUUGAAUACAUGAGCAUGGAAUAAUGGAAUAGGACUACGGUCCCUAUUUCGUUGGUUUCGAGGACCGAAGUAAUGAUUAAGAGGGACAGUUGGGGGCAUCCGUAUUUCGUAGUCAGAGGUGAAAUUCUUGGAUUUACGAAAGACGAACAACUGCGAAAGCAUUUGCCAAGAGUGUUUUCAUUAAUCAAGAACGAAAGU
RNAcentral lists this ribosomal RNA (400 nucleotides) under phytoplankton environmental sample. RNAcentral's name for it is "partial small subunit ribosomal RNA". It matches the Rfam family "Eukaryotic small subunit ribosomal RNA", at positions 587 to 990 of the family's 1831-position model. The record is from RNAcentral.